UCUCAGCUCGUCAUGCUAGAGCACGUUUUCAAUGGGCUCCCCAACGACAAGGCGACGACGUAUUCGUAUGUCAUCCAUAUCAACUUUUGAUGCCAUUUACUUCGCCUACCAUGGAGACCACGAGUAACGGGGAAUCGGUUCGAUUCCUGAGAGGGAGACUGAGCAACGGCUACCACAUGCAAGGAAGGCAGCAGGCGCGCAAAUGACCCACUCCCGACAAGGGAAGGUAGUGAUGA
Molecule: non-coding RNA, 236 nt
Organism: Pelobates cultripes (western spadefoot toad)
Lineage: Eukaryota; Metazoa; Chordata; Amphibia; Anura; Pelobatidae
Source: the annotation of a GenBank genome assembly